UACAGAGGGUGCAAGCGUUAAUCGGGAUGACUGGGCGUAAAGGGCGCGUAGGCGGUUUGAUAAGUUAGAUGUGAAAUCCCUGGGCUUAACCUAGGAAUGGCAUUUAAUACUAUGAAGCUAGAGUAAGGUAGAGGGAAGUGGAAUUUCCGGUGUAGCGGUGAAAUGCGUAGAUAUCGGAAGGAACACCGGUGGCGAAGGCGGCUUCCUGGACCUAUACUGACGCUGAGGCGCGAAAGCGUGGGUAGCAAAC
This 250-nucleotide ribosomal RNA is filed under the name uncultured bacterium. RNAcentral describes it as "partial 16S ribosomal RNA". It matches the Rfam family "Bacterial small subunit ribosomal RNA", at positions 524 to 773 of the family's 1533-position model. The record is from RNAcentral.